UCCUUUCCUCACUUGGCACAAAUUUGCAUCUUUCUUGAUUUAGCAAGGUUGUUGUGCAUCAGCUAGAGAACAAUCAGGAAUACUUAUUUUUGUACUUGGACUCUUUGCAAAAGGUGAACUGUAACAAUAUAUUUCAACACAAGUUGGUUUCCUUGUAUGCAAAGUAUGAUCGUACAAAACUAUUGCCAUUCUUACGGCGUUCAAAGGAGUACGUUAUACAAGAUGCAUUGGAGAUAUGUAAACGAGAAGAAUUUUAUCUAGAGAUGGUUUACUUGCUGGGUUGCAUGGGCGGAGUGGAAGCAGCAGAAGCCCUUAAUAUAAUAAUUCAUAAGAUGAGAGACGUUGAAAUGGCAAUAGAAUUUUGUAAAGAGCAUGAUGACAACGAUCUAUGGAAUAGAUGAAUAAAUGAAUAAAUGAAUCCACUAAGCAACCUGAGAUUAUAACGAAAGUUUUGAAUGGCAUUGUGGAUUUUGUUAACCCAGAAGUAGUGGUUAGUAAAAUAAAGAAGGGCCAGACCAUACCAAAUCUUCGGGAAUCUGUAAUCAAUAUGCUAUGGCACUACAAUAUCCAACAGGAAAUGCUAUCCACCGCUCAAAGAAUGCAGCUUGAUGAUUAUUUUGAUACCCACUCCGAGGUGGUUUCAUUGCACCGGCGCGGCCAACAAGUAUCCCAUGAUCAAUGCUGUGCACAGUGUCAAUGUCCAAUACUAAUGAAAAAUGAUACCUUUAAUUCCAUAGUCGUGUUUAAAUGUGGUCAUAUGUAUCACGAUCUGUGCAAUCUUAGCAACGAGUACUGCACAGAGUGUCAAACGUGGAACACUAAGCCUACCAAAGUGGAAUAGAUCAGAUAACCACAAUUUAUUGCAGUUGUCAUUCUCAUGUAUGCAGUUCCAAUUAAAUAUACUAUAAAUAAUUA
Molecule: long non-coding RNA, 915 nt
Organism: Drosophila serrata
Lineage: Eukaryota; Metazoa; Arthropoda; Insecta; Diptera; Drosophilidae
Source: RefSeq, a predicted model, not a curated record